AAUCAAUCCACCGGUUUUGGUAAACAUUUUCUAAGAUCAGGUGGUUUUGGUAAAGCUUCCGUUAUAUAAAUCCAGAGAAACUAAAGUUGCUGUGGGGAAGUGUUUGAUUUAAUAACAUAAUAUCAACAUAUCACUGUGCUAAAAAGCAAUGCUAACUUCUAGACUUUAGACUAGAGUCCACAGUUUCUUAAAGCACUCUCAGAAAUAUGGCCACACUGACUUUGUGUUUUCCUAUAAGCAGCAUGUAUACUCUAGUUUAUGUUAUGGUGGGAGAUGCCACCAUGUGGUCAUUGUUGGAACUUUUAUUCCCUGUCCACAGUAAAGGUCCGUCCUUUCUGUGUUUUUGAAGCUUUGAUUGUGUUUACAGUGCACAAUAUUACAUGUGUUCACGUUUCACGUGUAAAACGCAUUAUUUUUCACACAAUUUACUUAUCUGUAUAGCGCUGUUUUCACUGUCCUAAAAGCAGGCUGAUGUCUUCCUUGUUCUAUGAAGUCCCUCCUUCAGAAAUAUGUAAGGAGUUCUGAUUGUGUAGUUUGUUUAAAGUGUUGUGAUUCGAUAGCAGCUUAGCUUAGCAGAGCCGUUUGGGCUUAGCUGGCGACUGAUGUAUUCCUGUGGGCGGGGUCUGACCGUCUGACAAACACUCUUGCUUUGACAUCAUUCAACCGGGAAGUAGAGGGCUGUAUUCCAAACCAGCCAUCCGCUAGGCCUCGAAACUUCUGUUAAAGAAAACAUAUCGCCUGGCAGUGAACUUUGAGCUUUAUCAUUUUGCAGGCUGACACAGUGGCUCGGUGCCUCACAGCAAGAAAGAGUGAUGGACUGUAAGUUGGACUGGCCAUUUAUCCAUGGUGUUCCCUGCUUGUGGCUCAGGAUGCUGGGAUGGCCUCCCUCCCCUCGUGACCCUGCAGUGGACACGCAGAUUUGCAGGAUAGAUGGAGAUCUUGCAUGAAGCUUACUUCCCGUACCAGAAGUGUUCUCAUGGUUCUAGCAAGCUGAGUGAUGUUGAGUGAGAUGACCCAGAACUAGAGGUCCUCCGGUGCCCAUUCACACACACACAUCCAUGGAUAAUGUAUAUUGUUUAGGACUGAGUGAAAUGUAGACAUUUGAAACACUCAGAAGGUUUACAUGUAUGGAACAAAUUUUUUUAAUGCAGGUUUUUUAACUAAGAUUUGGUAAAAUAUGAACAAACCCAUCUGUGUUGAGUUAAAUUAUCCACUAUGUGACCCAGCUAUGGGUUAAAACAAUGUGUUUUGCGUUUAAACAACCCACCAGGUUAAUUUAAAACAAAUAGUUAGAUUUGUCCAUAUUAAAUCUAACCAUUAAAAUAACUUUGGAUUUUUUUGGGUGUAUUCUAUUGGAAUAAAGACAAUCUACAAUUGAAAAGUUGAAAAAAGGUUGUAAACGUUUAAAUCGAUUUGACUUCCAUGUCUCAGUGGUGUAUUAAAAAAUACCAGAUGUAAAAUAAAUGGC
Non-coding RNA from Misgurnus anguillicaudatus (oriental weatherfish), 1468 nucleotides. The record is from RefSeq and is a predicted model, not a curated record. NCBI's taxonomy places the organism in Eukaryota, Metazoa, Chordata, Actinopteri, Cypriniformes, Cobitidae.